GAUGAAAUACUGGUUCUCGUACUAUCACCAAAGUUAAGUAAUAUCAAGCCUGGUCAGUACCUAGAUGGGUGACUGCUAGGGAAUACUAGGUGCUGUAAG
Acanthosepion pharaonis is the source of this 99-nucleotide non-coding RNA. Lineage: Eukaryota; Metazoa; Mollusca; Cephalopoda; Sepiida; Sepiidae. The record is from the annotation of a GenBank genome assembly.